This is a long non-coding RNA of Papaver somniferum (opium poppy), 1349 nucleotides long. RefSeq lists it as uncharacterized. The record is from RefSeq and is a predicted model, not a curated record. NCBI's taxonomy places the organism in Eukaryota, Viridiplantae, Streptophyta, Magnoliopsida, Ranunculales, Papaveraceae. The transcript is spliced from 6 exons.
AACUCCCUUAAGGACUAACACCCUCGAAACCAAAAGAGAUACAGUGAGAAACCCUAAUACACCUCCGUCUCCACCUUCUUCUCCAUCAUAUACAUCUCAUCCUAAUCUAUUUAACUUCAGGUAUCAUAUCCCUGCCCCUAUAGAACUCCGUCUGUGUUUGCUCAAGUGAAAACAGGAAAAGCUUUUUUUAAUGAAACCAAAAGAGAUACAGUGAGAAACCCUAAUACAACUCCGUCUCCACGCAAAUGUCAUCAUAUACAUCUCAUCCUAAUCUAUUCAACUUCAGGUAUCAUAUCCUUGCCCCUAUAGAACUCCGUCUGUGUUUGCGAAAGUGAGCUUUCUUCAAAAUCAUCUUAUUUCCUCUCCUAGAACUCAGAAAAGCGAUAAUGGAAGAAAAUCCAGGAAUCCGUUGCAUCUUUUUCUCAAUCUCUUCUGCAUCAAUUGGGGUUUUCAUGUGUUUAAUUAGAUUGAACACUGAUUAGGGUCUCUCUCACUUUCAACCUUAUUAAUCAUAAGGAUACAGUUAGGAUUAGGUUUAUACGGGAUGUACACAUGGUCAGCUACAGCAAAGAUUCUCAAGCAAUUACAUUUGAUUGACGGGUUGCAUGGGAUCGUUGCUAAGAACCUGAUUUGGAAAUUUGCUUUGGAGGGUUGUUCCAUUUGUCUUGAGCGUUUCACACAGUUGGUCGAAAAACAACAUUUUCUUCCUGCGAAGAAUGCCCACCGUGUCUUUUCAAGUGUAACACCACGUGCAAGUUUGAGCAAUAAACUACGCAAAUGUCAUCAUCCUCGAGGCACCAGCUGGUGUUGCAGUUUCAUAUCUGAAUUCCAACCAAACCAUUCCAACUAAACCAUCAUUAGCUUGAAAAGAAUUAAUGCUUUUAUAGGACCAAUAUGCCGCCCACAUAAAAAUUCAAUCAGCAGACGUGCUUAUUGUGGGUUGAUGCAAGAUGAAGGGGUCAUAGAUUCGAUGUUGGAGAGCCAGUAGAUUAUUACUUGGUGUAUAUGUAUGCUUCUUAAUUUUGGCUUACUUAUUAGUAAGAUAUUUAAGCAUUGUUUUAAGUAGUAAGGGUUUGGAAAUGUGAUCUCUUAAUGUAAAACUAAGUGGUGUUGAUGAGUGUAAGUUGGUGAGUCGUGGUGGCCGUGAGUGUAACGUGUUUGGUGGUGCUGUUGGUGAAUGUGUGGUGGUGAGUGUGGUCGAGGUUGAUGCUGGUGGUAGCCUAUGUGGUGGCUUAACAUUUUUUUUUUUGGUUUCUUAUGGUAAAGAUUUUGCAUUAAUUUGUGUCGGAUUUAUAAAGGGAAUUAAGAAAAUGGUGUUAGGCACAAUGGGGCUGCAUUGCUUUGAUCAA